This 539-nucleotide long non-coding RNA is filed under the name Ananas comosus (pineapple). RNAcentral's name for it is "long non-coding RNA (ACOM_LNC043421)". Lineage: Eukaryota; Viridiplantae; Streptophyta; Magnoliopsida; Poales; Bromeliaceae. The record is from RNAcentral.
AUGAAAUGGAUUCCGGAAUCCCUAGUGAUGUGGCCUCACAUGGAGCGAUGAAAAUUGUGGUAAAAGAGAUGGCAAGCGAAUCCUAACUGCAGGUAUGUGUGGUUCUCCUCGCCUGGCAGUGAUUCAACGGGUAUGUGUGGUUCUCCUCGCCCGGGAUGCCAUGAGAAUAAGCUGGAAUUUGGUAUGUGUGGUUCUCCUCGCCCAUUAGCUUAUCGGAUGAUGCCGCCUAGAUUGACUUGAACCUUGCUGGGUAAGAGCGAUGUGGUCGCUGCCAGAUGACUAAGUCACGUCUUGAACCAUUGUUAGGUGAGGUGCGAUUAGUUCGCCGCCAGAUGGCUAAGUCAUGACUUGAGUUGUUGUUGGGUUCGAUGCGAUGAGUUCGCCACCAGAUGGUUAAGUCAGAUUUGCGGUAGGCUGUGACGGCAGCCAGGCUGAGAUGCAGCCAGUGCGCGGACUAUCCGCGGAUGAUUGACUCGAGGCCGAGUCGGGUGGUUAGCUUGAUUAGGAUAAUAGAAACCUUAUAAGCUAGUGAUUGAGGC